CCGGCGCACGGGUGAGUAACACGUAUGGAACCUGCCCGCAGCAGGGGGAUAAGCGGAAGAAAUUCCGUCUAAUACCGCGUAACACCGCAGAGGGGCAUCCCUCGGCGGUUAAAGAUUCAUCGGCUGCGGAUGGCCAUGCGGCGCAUUAGCUAGUCGGCGGGGUAACGGCCCACCGAGGCGACGAUGCGUAGGGGUUCUGAGAGGAAGGUCCCCCACACUGGUACUGAGACACGGACCAGACUCCUACGGAAGGCAGCAG
This 259-nucleotide ribosomal RNA is filed under the name uncultured bacterium. RNAcentral describes it as "partial 16S ribosomal RNA". It matches the Rfam family "Bacterial small subunit ribosomal RNA", at positions 95 to 354 of the family's 1533-position model. The record is from RNAcentral.